ACCGGGGCCUUUUUGUCCGGACGCGGCGGGAGCGCGCUCAGCGCGUGCGUACGCGGCGGCGUUUGGCAGCGAGCUACCGCUGUGAAGUGAGGCGAGGCGAGGCGGCUCCGGACCCACGGACCGACAGACCGAGCGGCCCCUUCGGCCGUCGGCGGCCAGGCGGCCAGAGAUGUUGUCUGGGAAGAAGGCCGCGGCGGCCGCGGCGGCAGCAGCAGCGGCGGCGGCGGGGACUGAGGCCGGCCCCGGGGCAGCGGGCGGCGCAGAGAACGGCUCCGAGGUGGCCGCGCCGCCCGCGGGCCUGUCGGGCCCUGCCGAGGCCGGGCCGGGGGUGGCCGGGGAGCGCACUCCCCGCAAGAAAGAGCCUCCGCGGGCCUCGCCCCCCGGGGGACUGGCCGAGCCGCCGGGGUCCGCCGGGCCUCAAGCCGGGCCUACGGUCGUCCCUGGAUCUGCGACCCCCAUGGAAACGGGAAUCGCGGAGACUCCGGAGGGGCGACGGACCAGCCGGCGCAAGCGAGCGAAGGUAGAGUACAGAGAGAUGGAUGAAAGCUUGGCCAACCUCUCAGAAGAUGAGUAUUAUUCAGAAGAAGAGAGAAAUGCUAAAGCAGAAAAAGAAAAGAAGCUUCCCCCACCACCCCCUCAAGCCCCACCAGAGGAGGAAAAUGAAAGUGAGCCUGAAGAACCAUCUGGGCAAGCAGGAGGACUUCAAGACGACAGUUCUGGAGGGUAUGGAGACGGCCAAGCAUCAGGUGUGGAGGGUGCAGCUUUCCAGAGUAGACUUCCUCAUGACCGGAUGACUUCUCAAGAAGCAGCCUGUUUUCCAGAUAUCAUCAGUGGACCGCAACAGACCCAGAAGGUUUUUCUGUUCAUUAGAAACCGCACAUUGCAGUUGUGGUUGGAUAAUCCAAAGAUUCAGCUGACCUUUGAGGCUACCCUUCAACAAUUAGAAGCACCUUACAACAGUGAUACUGUGCUUGUCCACCGAGUUCACAGUUAUUUAGAGCGUCACGGUCUGAUCAACUUCGGCAUCUAUAAGAGGAUAAAACCCCUACCAACUAAAAAGACAGGAAAGGUAAUUAUUAUAGGCUCUGGGGUCUCAGGCUUGGCAGCAGCUCGUCAAUUACAAAGUUUCGGAAUGGAUGUCACACUUCUGGAAGCCAGGGAUCGAGUGGGUGGACGAGUUGCUACAUUUCGCAAAGGAAACUAUGUAGCUGAUCUUGGAGCUAUGGUAGUGACAGGUCUUGGAGGGAAUCCCAUGGCUGUGGUCAGCAAACAAGUAAAUAUGGAAUUGGCCAAGAUCAAGCAAAAAUGCCCACUUUAUGAAGCCAAUGGACAAGCUGUUCCUAAAGAGAAAGAUGAAAUGGUAGAGCAAGAGUUUAACCGGUUGCUAGAAGCUACGUCUUACCUUAGUCAUCAGCUAGACUUCAAUGUCCUCAAUAAUAAGCCUGUGUCCCUUGGCCAGGCAUUGGAAGUUGUCAUUCAGUUGCAAGAAAAGCAUGUCAAAGAUGAGCAAAUUGAACAUUGGAAGAAGAUAGUGAAGACUCAGGAGGAGUUGAAAGAACUUCUUAAUAAGAUGGUAAAUUUGAAAGAGAAAAUUAAAGAACUCCAUCAGCAAUACAAAGAAGCAUCUGAGGUCAAGCCACCCAGAGAUAUCACUGCCGAGUUCUUAGUGAAAAGCAAACACAGGGAUCUGACUGCCCUGUGCAAGGAAUAUGAUGAAUUAACUGAAACACAAGGAAAGUUAGAAGAAAAACUUCAAGAAUUGGAAGCCAAUCCCCCAAGUGACGUGUAUCUCUCAUCAAGAGACAGACAAAUACUUGAUUGGCAUUUUGCAAAUCUUGAAUUUGCUAAUGCCACACCUCUCUCUACACUCUCCCUUAAACAUUGGGAUCAGGAUGACGACUUUGAGUUUACUGGCAGCCACCUGACAGUGAGGAAUGGCUACUCCUGUGUACCUGUGGCUUUAGCGGAAGGCCUGGACAUUAAAUUGAACACAGCGGUGCGGCAGGUUCGCUACACGGCUUCGGGAUGUGAGGUGAUCGCUGUGAAUACCCGCUCCACAAGCCAGACCUUUAUUUAUAAGUGUGAUGCAGUUCUCUGUACCCUCCCCUUGGGUGUGCUGAAGCAGCAGCCCCCAGCUGUUCAGUUCGUGCCGCCUCUUCCUGAGUGGAAAACAUCUGCAGUCCAAAGGAUGGGAUUUGGCAACCUUAACAAGGUAGUACUGUGUUUUGACCGUGUGUUCUGGGAUCCAAGUGUCAAUUUGUUUGGGCAUGUUGGCAGUACGACGGCCAGCAGGGGUGAGCUCUUCCUCUUCUGGAACCUCUAUAAAGAUUUCAGAGUGCCCCGAAUAAUGUGGGGCCUGAUAAAGAAGUUCUUGAGAGAAGUCUGUACGAGAACCCUGGACUGUUCUUCCUGUUUCUCCAGCCCCAAUACUGUUGGCACUAGUGGCAGGGGAAGCUGCCGGCAUCAUGGAAAACAUAAGUGAUGAUGUGAUUGUCGGCCGAUGCCUGGCCAUCCUCAAAGGGAUUUUUGGCAGCAGUGCGGUGCCCCAGCCCAAGGAGACUGUGGUAUCUCGCUGGCGUGCUGAUCCCUGGGCCCGGGGCUCCUAUUCAUAUGUAGCUGCAGGAUCAUCUGGAAAUGACUAUGAUUUAAUGGCUCAGCCAAUCACUCCUGGCCCCUCAAUUCCAGGUGCUCCACAGCCAAUUCCACGACUCUUCUUUGCUGGAGAACAUACAAUCCGUAACUACCCAGCCACUGUCCAUGGCGCUCUGCUGAGUGGGCUGCGAGAAGCAGGAAGGAUUGCAGACCAGUUCCUGGGGGCCAUGUACACCCUGCCUCGCCAGGCCACACCAGGCGUCCCUGCACAGCAGUCCCCAAGCAUGUGAGACUGAUGGGCUCUGAGGGAAGCAAUGUGCAAGUCUUUUGCUGUGUAAGCAGAGCUUUUAUAGCAAUACUGGAUUUCACUGAGAAACUCACUCUGGCAUCUGGGCUCCAAUCAGCUGUUGGAACUCAUGCUGCCAGGUGUGGCCUCCUUUGAGGGACUUAGCGCUAGAGAGGCAGUUGUCCGUUAGUGCGGAAGUCGGUGUUCUUCCUAAAGACUGAGGUAAGCAAGCCUCGUGAGAGGACAUCUUAGUCUCUUGGUGUGUGGUUUUUUAUAUUUUAAAAAUAAAGCUUCAUAUAAAAUU
Molecule: RNA transcript, 3182 nt
Organism: Mirounga angustirostris (Northern elephant seal)
Lineage: Eukaryota; Metazoa; Chordata; Mammalia; Carnivora; Phocidae
Gene: KDM1A
Gene name: lysine demethylase 1A
Exons: 20
Source: RefSeq, a predicted model, not a curated record